RNAcentral lists this ribosomal RNA (426 nucleotides) under uncultured eukaryote. RNAcentral describes it as "SSU rRNA". It matches the Rfam family "Eukaryotic small subunit ribosomal RNA", at positions 592 to 1018 of the family's 1831-position model. The record is from RNAcentral.
CAAUAGCGUAUAUUAAAGUUGUUGCAGUUAAAAGCUCGUAGUUGGAUUUCUGGCGUGAGGUGCUUGACCCGCCGCGGUUACGCGUGUGAGUGUCGGUGUGCCUCGGCCAUCCUUCUAGAAAUUGGCUCUGCCCUUCAUUGGGUUGGGGUCAGGAUCUAGAUCUUUUACUUUGAAAAAUUAGAGUGUUUAAAGCAAGCGUUGCGUGAAUACAUUAGCAUGGAAUAAUAACUUAGGACUUUGGUUCUAUUUUGUUGGUUUCUAGGACUGAAGUAAUGAUUGAUAGGGAUAGUUGGGGGUGCUAGUAUUCAGCGGCCAGAGGUGAAAUUCUUGGAUUCGCUGAAGACUAACUUAUGCGAAAGCAUUCACCAAGGAUGUCUUCUUUAAUCAAGAACGAAAGUUGGGGGAUCGAAGACGAUCAGAUACCGU